UUUCCGGUUGAUCCUGCCGGAGGUCAUUGCUAUUGGAGUCCGAUUUAGCCAUGCUAGUCGUACGAAUUUAGAUUCGUGGCGAAUAGCUCAGUAACACGUGGCCAAACUACCCUGUCGAUCGCAAUAACCUCGGGAAACUGAGGCUAAUGGCGAAUACGGCUCGAUGCCUGGAACUGGCUCGAGCCCGAAACGCUCCGGCGCGACAGGAUGUGGCUGCGGCCGAUUAGGUUGACGGUGGGGUAACGGCCCACCGUGCCGAUAAUCGGUACGGGUUGUGAGAGCAAGAGCCCGGAGACGGAAUCUGAGACAAGAUUCCGGGCCCUACGGGGCGCAGCAGGCGCGAAACCUUUACACUGCACGAUAGUGCGAUAAGGGGACUCCAAGUGCGAGGGCAUAUAGUCCUCGCUUUUGUGUACCGUAGGAUGGUACACGAAUAAGGGCUGGGCAAGACCGGUGCCAGCCGCCGCGGUAAUACCGGCAGCCCAAGUGAUGACCGCUAUUAUUGGGCCUAAAGCGUCCGUAGCCGGCCGUACAAGUCCGUCGGGAAAUCUACUCGCCUAACGAGUAGACGUCCGGCGGAAACUGUUCGGCUAGGGACCGGAAGAUCUGAGGGGUACGUCUGGGGUAGGAGUGAAAUCCCGUAAUCCUGGACGGACCACCGGUGGCGAAAGCGCCUCAGAAAGACGGAUCCGACGGUGAGGGACGAAAGCUCGGGUCACGAACCGGAUUAGAUACCCGGGUAGUCCGAGCC
Molecule: ribosomal RNA, 751 nt
Filed under: uncultured haloarchaeon
Lineage: Archaea; Methanobacteriati; Methanobacteriota; Halobacteria; Halobacteriales; Halobacteriaceae
Description: bacterial SSU rRNA
Rfam family: Archaeal small subunit ribosomal RNA
Source: RNAcentral